UGCAAGUCGAACGGAGUUAAGUUAAAGCUUGCUUUGACUUAACUUAGUGGCGGACUGGUGAGUAACGCGUGAACAAUCUGCCUAUCGACAGGGGGAUAACAGUUGGAAACGACUGCUAAUACCGCAUAAGGACCACGGGGUGGCAUCACCCAGGGGUCAAAGGAGUUAAAUCUGGUGAUAGAUGAGUUUGCGUAUCAAUUAGCUAGUUGGUAAGGGUAACGGCCUACCCAAGGCGACGAUGAUUAGCCGAUCUGAGAGGGAUGACCGGCCACACUGGGACUGAGAUACGGCCCAGACUCCUACGGGAGGCAGCAGUUAGGAAUAUUGGGCAAUGGAGGAAACUCUGACCCAGCAACGCCGCGUGAAGGAAGAAGGUUUUCGGACUGUAAACUUCUGAUCUAAGGGAAAAAGAAAGUGAUGGUACCUUAGGAGAAAGCCACGGCUAACUACGUGCC
This 455-nucleotide ribosomal RNA is filed under the name uncultured bacterium. RNAcentral describes it as "bacterial SSU rRNA". It matches the Rfam family "Bacterial small subunit ribosomal RNA", at positions 56 to 509 of the family's 1533-position model. The record is from RNAcentral.